Molecule: ribosomal RNA, 497 nt
Filed under: uncultured bacterium
Lineage: Bacteria
Description: partial 16S ribosomal RNA
Rfam family: Bacterial small subunit ribosomal RNA
Source: RNAcentral
GACGAACGCUGGCGGCGUGCCUAAUACAUGCAAGUAGAACGCUGAAGCUUGGUGCUUGCACCGAGCGGAUGAGUUGCGAACGGGUGAGUAACGCGUAGGUAACCUGCCUGGUAGCGGGGGAUAACUAUUGGAAACGAUAGCUAAUACCGCAUAACAGUAGAUAUCGCAUGAUAGCUACUUGAAAGGUGCAAAUGCACCACUACCAGAUGGACCUGCGUUGUAUUAGCUAGUUGGUGAGGUAACGGCUCACCAAGGCAACGAUACAUAGCCGACCUGAGAGGGUGAUCGGCCACACUGGGACUGAGACACGGCCCAGACUCCUACGGGAGGCAGCAGUAGGGAAUCUUCGGCAAUGGACGGAAGUCUGACCGAGCAACGCCGCGUGAGUGAAUAAGGUUUUCGGAUCGUAAAGCUCUGUUGUAAGAGAAGAACGAGUGUGAGAGUGGAAAGUUCACACUGUGACGGUAUCUUACCAGAAAGGGACGGCUAACUACGUG